GAUGAACGCUGGCGGCGUGCUUAACACAUGCAAGUCGAACGGUGAAGCAGAGCUUGCUCUGUGGAUCAGUGGCGAACGGGUGAGUAACACGUGAGCAACCUGCCCCUGACUCUGGGAUAAGCGCUGGAAACGGCGUCUAAUACUGGAUAUGAGCUGCGACCGCAGGGUCAGCAGUUGGAAAGAUUUUUCUUUCUGGGAUGGGCUCACGGCCUGUCAGCUUGUUGGUGAGGUAAUGGAUCACCAAGGCGUCGCCGGGUAGCCGGCCUGAGAAGGUGACCGGCCACACUGGGACUGAGACACGCCCCAGAGUCCUACGGGGGGCAGCAGUGGGGAAUAUUGCACAAUGGGCGAAAGCCUGAUGCAGAAACGCCGCGUGAGGGAUGACGGCCUUCGGGUUGUAAACCUCUUUUAGCAGGGAAGCAGCGAUAGUGACGGUACCUGCAGAAAAAGCGCCGGCUAACUACGUG
RNAcentral lists this ribosomal RNA (467 nucleotides) under uncultured bacterium. RNAcentral's name for it is "partial 16S ribosomal RNA". It matches the Rfam family "Bacterial small subunit ribosomal RNA", at positions 28 to 507 of the family's 1533-position model. The record is from RNAcentral.